GACGAACGCUGGCGGCGUGCCUAAUACAUGCAAGUAGAACGCUUAAGGAGGAGCUUGCUUCUCUGGAUGAGUUGCGAACGGGUGAGUAACGCGUAGGUAACCUGCCUGGUAGCGGGGGAUAACUAUUGGAAACGAUAGCUAAUACCGCAUAAGAGUAGAUGUCGCAUGACAUUUGCUUAAAAGGUGCAAUUGCUUCACUACCAGAUGGACCUGCGUUGUAUUAGCUAGUUGGUGAGGUAACGGCUCACCAAGGCAACGAUCCAUAGCCGAACUGAGAGGGGGAUAGGCCAGACUGGGACUGAGACAGGGCCCAGACGCCUACGGGAGGCAGCAGGAGGGAAUCUUCGGCAAUGGACGGAAGUCUGACCGAGCAACGCCGCGUGAGUGAAGAAGGUUUUCGGAUCGGAAAGGUCUGUUGUAAGGGAAGAACGAGGGUGAGAGUGGAAAGUUCACACUGUGACGGUAUCUGACCAGAAAGGGACGGCUAACUACGUG
RNAcentral lists this ribosomal RNA (495 nucleotides) under uncultured bacterium. Its description in RNAcentral is "partial 16S ribosomal RNA". It matches the Rfam family "Bacterial small subunit ribosomal RNA", at positions 28 to 507 of the family's 1533-position model. The record is from RNAcentral.